RNAcentral lists this unclassified non-coding RNA (23 nucleotides) under Mus musculus (house mouse). Its description in RNAcentral is "oocyte_clustered_small_RNA5651". Lineage: Eukaryota; Metazoa; Chordata; Mammalia; Rodentia; Muridae. The record is from RNAcentral.
UACCUUGAGCGGUGUUGUAGUUC